GAGCAUCGCGAUUUUAGUGGCAGCCCUCUUCGUAAUAAAUUUGAAGGGUUUCACCUUCAAGAUAAUCGAGGAUCAAGUCCGUUUAAGUACAAGAAUGAUGGUUAUGCCCACUCCAUGGAUUCUCCCAAGGCUGGCCAUGUCAAGGACUAUGGGGUCAACAACACAUGGGAUUCACCACCAAGAUCAAGGUUAACUCAUGAGGAUUGGGAUAGCAGGAGAGAUCAUGAUGAUUAUGGCAAGCCAAAAUUCAAUGGAGGUUACAAGACAACUAGUCCUCCACUUAGCCAGGCCACAAAUGAUAUAGGCACUGCCAUGAAGAUCCUUGGGGUAGGUAAUAAACCUUUGACUUCUCCUACUUAUGCACCAAAAUCACAUUUUCCAGCAUCUUACUCAACUCCACAUAUAAAAGAAAGUUACCCUGAACCAACAAAAGGAAUGAUGCCUCCUCUGCUUUACCCUGUGCCUCAGAGGAAAGAAAGCUAUCCUGAGGCACCACAUGGCACAAAGCCUCUAUUUUCUCCUAUUCAUACACAGCAACCAUAUUCACCAACUUCAAUCCCGAUACCUCAAAGGAAAGAAAACUACCCUGAAACAAAUCCUGGACCAAAGCCUUUAUUUUCCCCUGGUUAUACACAACAAUCACAUUCACCAACUUCAAACCCGACACCUCAGAGGCCUGAGGCAGCACAUGGCACAAAGCCGCUGUUUUCCUCUGUUCAUACACAACAACCAUACUCACCAACUUCAAACUCGAUACCUCAAAGGAAAGAAAACUACCCUGAAACAACUCAUGGACCAAGGCCUCUGUUUUCCCCUGGUUAUACACAACAAUCACAUUCACCAACACCUCAGAGGAAAGAAAGCCAUCCUGAGGCAGCACACGGCACAAAGCCUCUGUUUACCCCUAUUCAUACACAGAAACCAUAUUCACCAACUUCAAACCCGAUACCUCAAAGGAAAGAGAACUACCCUGAAACAACUCAUGGACCAAGGCCUCUGUUUACCCCUAUUCAUACACAGAAACCAUAUUCACCAACUUCAAACCCGAUACCUCAAAGGAAAGAAAGCUACUCUGAAACAGCACACGGCACAAAGCCUCUGUUUACCCCUGUUCAUACACAGCAACCAUAUUCACCAACUUCAAACCCGAUACCUCAAAGGAAAGAAAGCUACCCUGAAACAGCACACGGUGCAAAGCCUUUGUUUUCCUCUGGUUAUACACCACAAUCACAUCCACCAACUUCAAACCCAACACCUCAAAGGAAAGAAAGCUACCCAGAAACAACACACGAUACAAACCCUAUGUUUUCCCCUGUUUCUACACAACAAUCAACUGCAAAUCCGACCUCUCAAAACAACGAAAGUCAGCCAAAGAAGAAAAAAGGUUGGACAUCUCUGUUUUCCUCUAAUGCUAAGCAACAACCACACCCUCCAACAUCACACUCAACACCUGAUAUGAAACAAAGCUACCCUGAUCAUGAAACUCAAGGUUUCCACCCUUCAUUUUCCCCUUCUUCUCCACAAAAGGAACGCUACAGUCCACAAAUGAAAGACCAUUACCCCGACCAAAUCCAG
Molecule: long non-coding RNA, 1575 nt
Filed under: Solanum tuberosum (potato)
Lineage: Eukaryota; Viridiplantae; Streptophyta; Magnoliopsida; Solanales; Solanaceae
Description: long non-coding RNA (STUB_LNC002249)
Source: RNAcentral